GUGAGGCCUCAAUGAAAGCCUGUCCUCAGAGUUGCAGGGAACUCUGGAGGCGCCCACUCCAGACUCUGCCGGGGCAGGGCUUCCUGCUGCCGCUUAUCCCCGGGUCCCCAGAUCCGGAGAAAUCAGAUCAGCAGGGCUGGUGAGACUCAGGAGGCUGCAUUUUAACGAGCCUCUAAGGCUCUGAUGCAGGUGUUCUCUGGCCACCUCUACGGAAACACCAUCUUGUUCAGCGCUUUGCAAACUGCCCGUUGUGACUCGUCAGUGAGUUGUGAGAUCAAGUGAUUCAGUUGGGACCGGCAUAUUUAAAAGAAUAAGUAGAAGAGAACAGAAAGAAAUUGGAGGAGAGUGGAAGAGAGGAGGAGAGGAGGGAAGUAUCAGAGUGUAUCACAUGUGGUGAUGAUGUCUUCUGGUGAUGCUGGGGUCCAAGUACCAGGUUUUCUCCUGCCCUGUGGUAAACCUACAUGGACCAACAACCAACCAGCUACGGCAGAGCAGUCGAUGCCAGUGGGAGAACCAGGCUCUCUGACCUGGGAAACCGAUCGGACUCCAGCUCUGUCCUCUCCCCCUGGCGGUGUGGGUGCAUGGUGUGGGUGAGCCUGGGAUCCCUAGGGUCUGUGCAUGUGACCGUGUGUCAUACGUGCAUACAACCCUCAGUCCUCCUCCUUCCAGCCAGGGGUCAGCUGUAAAACCCUCUCCCCUAGGUUUCCUUCAAGCUCCAGCCACCCUUUACUUAUAUGUCUGUGCUCCGAGUCUGUCUGUAGUGUUCAUCUUCACGGGACUUCAUUGGCAUAAAAACACGACAGAACGAUAAACGGACAACAAACAUCUGAAAAACGGUAUAACUUCACCAAUAAUUAAAGUAAUUUUGAUUAAAAAUAGUAAGAUACCAUUUUUCUGUAAAUUGUCAAUGAUUAGAAUAUAUGACACCCACUGUUGGUAAGAGAGUGACGAAAUGGGUGUCAUCACACACAGGUGCUAAGAGUGUAACUUUCAACAGUCUUUCUAAAGGCCGCAAGUAUGAAGGACCUAAAAAGUGGACAGAAACUUCACUUCUAAGAAUCAAUUUCAAUUGGACAAAAUGGG
Molecule: long non-coding RNA, 1083 nt
Organism: Equus caballus (horse)
Lineage: Eukaryota; Metazoa; Chordata; Mammalia; Perissodactyla; Equidae
Source: Ensembl